This 20-nucleotide non-coding RNA is filed under the name Arabidopsis thaliana (thale cress). The record is from RNAcentral. Lineage: Eukaryota; Viridiplantae; Streptophyta; Magnoliopsida; Brassicales; Brassicaceae.
UACAACUAGUGCAUCAUGUG